Molecule: ribosomal RNA, 477 nt
Filed under: uncultured bacterium
Lineage: Bacteria
Description: bacterial SSU rRNA
Rfam family: Bacterial small subunit ribosomal RNA
Source: RNAcentral
GAUGAACGCUAGCGGCAGGCUUAAUACAUGCAAGUCGAGCGGUAAGGUUUUCGGACCCUAGAGCGGCGAACGGGUGAGUAACGCGUACGAAACCUACCUUUAAGAGAGGAAUAGCCCUGGGAAACUGGGAGUAAUGCCUCAUAGUAUUCAUUUACCGCAUGGUUUAUGGAUUAAAGCUACGGCGCUUAAAGAUGGUCGUGCGUCUGAUUAGCUAGUUGGUAGGGUAACGGCCUACCAAGGCUACGAUCAGUAGGGGGCGUGAGAGCGUGGCCCCCCACACGGGUACUGAGACACGGACCCGACUCCUACGGGAGGCAGCAGUAAGGAAUAUUGGGCAAUGGACGCAAGUCUGACCCAGCCAUCCCGCGUGCAGGAUGACUGCCCUAUGGGUUGUAAACUGCUUUUAUAUGGGAAGAAUAGCAUAGAUUCAUCUGUGUAUGACGGUACCAUAUGAAUAAGCACCGGCUAAACUCCGUG